This 481-nucleotide ribosomal RNA is filed under the name uncultured bacterium. RNAcentral describes it as "bacterial SSU rRNA". It matches the Rfam family "Bacterial small subunit ribosomal RNA", at positions 28 to 507 of the family's 1533-position model. The record is from RNAcentral.
GAUGAACGCUAGCUACAGGCUUAACACAUGCAAGUCGAGGGGUAGCAGGGUAGCAAUACCGCUGACGACCGGCGCACGGGUGAGUAACACGUAUCCAACCUUCCCAUAACUCGGGGAUAGCCUUUCGAAAGAAAGAUUAAUACCCGAUAGUACUUAACAAAGGCAUCUUUUUAAGUUAAAGAUUUAUUGGUUAUGGAUGGGGAUGCGUUCCAUUAGAUAGUUGGUGAGGUAACGGCUCACCAAGUCUUCGAUGGAUAGGGGUUCUGAGAGGAAGGUCCCCCACAUUGGUACUGAGACACGGACCAAACUCCUACGGGAGGCAGCAGUGAGGAAUAUUGGUCAAUGGGCGAGAGCCUGAACCAGCCAAGUAGCGUGAAGGAUGAAGGUCCUAUGGAUUGUAAACUUCUUUUAUAGUAGAAUAAAGUGAUCCACGUGUGGAUUUUUGUAUGUAUACUAUGAAUAAGGAUCGGCUAACUCCGUG